This 468-nucleotide ribosomal RNA is filed under the name uncultured bacterium. RNAcentral's name for it is "partial 16S ribosomal RNA". It matches the Rfam family "Bacterial small subunit ribosomal RNA", at positions 28 to 507 of the family's 1533-position model. The record is from RNAcentral.
GACGAACGCUGGCGGCGUGCUUAACACAUGCAAGUCGAACGGAAAGGCCCUGCUUUUGUGGGGUGCUCGAGUGGCGAACGGGUGAGUAACACGUGAGUAACCUGUCCUUGACUUUGUGAUAACUCCAGGAAACUGGGGCUAAUAUCGGAUAGGAGCUCUUGCUGCAUGGUGGGGGUUGGAAAGUUUCGGCGGUUGGGGAUGGACUCGCGGCUUAUCCGCUUGUUGGUGGGGUAGUGGCUUACCAAGGCUUCGACGGGUAGCCGGCCUGAGAGGGUGACCGGCCACAAUGGGACUGAGGUACGGCCCAGACGCCUACGGGAGGCAGCAGUGGGGAAUAUUGCACAAUGGGCGGAAGCCUGAUGCAGCAACGCCGCGUGCGGGAUGACGGCCUUCGGGUUGUAAACCGCUUUCGCCGGUGACGAAGCGUGAGUGACGGUAAUGGGUAAAGAAGCAACGGCUAACUACGUG